UAAAUAUUUAGACUUGGUAAUAUAGUUGUACACAAAGUACAAUUAAUAAGUACCAAUUACUCUUUCUUACUAUAGACAAAUGUUUUAAGUGAUUUUUUUUAAAAAAUGACAUCUUUAAAAUUAGCAAUAUCUAUCCAUGGAAAACAUGCUGAGGAGUUUCACACUUAUUUACACUUAUAGAUUCACACUUAUUUAGAAUAAUUAUGCACUCAUCUAACACUCUUCCUUGUGGUCACCACACUCCUCUUUAGUGCCUGAGUUCAUCCAUGGCAUCACAUCAGAAAUAUAGACCUUCAAAACUGUCACUGUGAGCACUGUGAAUGUAGGAAGACAGUUUAGUCAUGUACUAAAUUUUUUCCAUGUUACUACCUAUCCUUCAUAUUUAUCAACUUGUAGCUGCUUAAUCCAUUGAGAAGAUUUUCUAACCACUUCUUCACUUUUGAAUGGGUUUUUAUCACCAAUUUUGAACUAUUUCCUUAAGAUAGUCUGUGAAGUGGGAUGGCCAUCAAAUAACAUGAAUACUUCUAUGACUCUUUAUGCUUUCCAGCCAUCAGUAGUGUGUAUACUGGUUUCACUAUGGUCUUGACUGGUAUUGGUAUUAUUUUUAAAAAUAAACAGAGCAGUUUUCUUUUUAUUUUUAUCCAUACAGUGUGUCUAAAAUGGCACCCCAUUGUUUUCUUCCUCUCAUUUUUGGAGCCAAGGGAAGUGAUGUGCACUGUGGCCCCUCUAUCCAAUUUUUAUUUGAUAGCACACUUACAGAUGUGUAAUGACAAGUUGAAAUAGGACUCAAGUGACAGGGAGAGGCAGCAUAAACCACAGCCUACCAAUAAAGGGGACUAGAAGAGUAACCUUGUACUUAUAGAGGUAAAUGAAUUCCAGUUAAGGUUGGAGGACUUGCCCAAAAUCCCAGCUGGUUUUAAUUGAACUAGUUUGACAGCUGCUCUUUUAUUUGCAUCAUUGUUUUGUUUUAGAUAUUAACAAAUGAGCUAAGGUUUUAAGAAAAUUAAUUGAAAUAAUGUAUUUCUAUUUUGAUAUAAGAGACAUAAAAUCACAAUAAGCAAUUGGGCUUCCUUUGUCUUAAAACCUAAUGCUGUCUUGUAUUAUAAUGAUGGAGUUUACAGCAGUAUAAACUUAGAGGUAAAUGAAUUCCAGUUAAACUUUUGCUGACAUUGCUAUUGUGUGGUAAAUUAAAUAUCUUAUUAUGAUAUGUAUUUUAGGCAAGUAAUUUGAAAUGUUUAUGUUUAGCUGUAGUCUAUUAUUCUAGAGCAGUUGUUCUUGACCAGGGAUGGUUUUGCCCUCCAGGGAACAUUUAGAAAUGUCUGGAGAUAUUUUUGAAUGUCAUGACUUGGAGGAUGUGAAUGACAUAUAGUAGAGGUCAGGGACACUGUUAAACAUCCUACAGUGUACUGGACAGCUUCCAUACAAAGAAUGAUAUGUCCCAAUCUUCAGUAGUGCCACUGUUAAGAAACCCUGGUCUACAGUGUACUAUUUUUGAACCUCACAUUUACUUUGGAGGUAAUGCUAUUUUCAAAAUAUGGUUUUGAUCAUUUUGAGAUAUUGUGUUUCUAAACUGAGACUCUGAACCACCAAUCACUGGGCAGUGAUUAAAGUCAAUGUGAUAUAAAGAGCUUUUAAUGCCCAGAAAAAGUAUCGGGCAAGUGGAGAGCACUUUUCUGUUGGUUUUCUCACUGUCUGUGCUUUGAAUAUAUUUUUAUUCAUUAAAAGAAGCUAAUGAAGUUCAAUAUAUUUUGAGAGAGUCUGCUGCAUAAUAUUUUAUCACUAAAUUAAAGCAAAGAAUCCAUGUUCUCACACAGAGCAAGAUGAAAUAUAGUACACUGAAGGAAAUGUCCAAUUAUCUUAACACAAAUGUUAGCAAUAAUGGGCCUUUUGUGUUUUAUUAUACCAAGUUGUUGCUAGCUCUACCUUAUUAAAAUUUUCAGUUCGAAAGACUGAAAGAUCAAAAAGAGAUAAAGAUAUAUUAAUAUUAAUCAUUAGCCAACCAACAAGUAUUUAUUAAGAUUCUAUUAUGAGCCUGGCAAUGUACUUCUUGGGAAUAUGGAAUCAUUAAAAUAUAUUAUUUGGGUUUUAUUGAGUUGACUAUAUGUGAGCUACUUGCAUAUAUUUAUCUGAUUUAAUUAUCACAAUUACUAUGAGGGGUAGGUCACAUUACUUUCAUUACAUGGAUGAGGAAACUGAGGCCCAGAGAGAUGACAUUCAAGAUCACUCAACUAGUAAGUGAUGGAACCAUGACUCAUGAAAACUCAGGUUACUUUGACUCCAGAGUUCAUUCUCUCAAAUACAACUCUACAUCCUCCUCAAGAAAGGCAUUUUCUUUGAGCUGGAGCCAAACCAAAGGAUGCGUAUGGGAUAUGUUCUGUGGUCCUCUAUUUGACCAGGUAGACUACUCUCCUCCUUUUCCUCCUCCUCCUUUUAUAGUACUGGGAAUUGAAUUCAGAGGCACUCUACCACUGAGCUAAAUCCCCAGCCCUUUUAAUUUUUCUUUUGAGACAGGGUCUCACUAAGUUGCAGGCUAGCCUCAAAUUUGCCAUUCUCUUGCCUCAACCUCUCAAGUAACUGGGAUUACAGGUGUGCACCACCAUGCCUGGCCAGGUGGUCUGUUUUUAAUUAGAGGAAUUAAGACAGGAGCAUGUGAAGCAAUACAAUAUCAUCUUCAGGAAUAUAUGAUGAUAAUAGAAUAUCUCAAGUCUUUGAUUUCUCAACACAUCUUUAAAAAAAUAGAGGGAGUUUUCCCAUUUUUCUACAUUUUUUAGAAUCAAGGUGGUCAAACUAGUAUAACCUCUGGAACAAUUCCAUUACCUCUUCAGAUCAUUUUUAUGUUGUCUUACAUUUAUGAACCAAAAAAGUGCUGAAUUCUGUAGGAAAAUAAAACACAGUUGUCUCUAUUCUAAAGGAUAUGGAAAAUGUCUGGGUCCUAUUAUGUUUCUCAAGGCAAGUACUUACAGACUACUCCAAUUCUGGGCCUUAUGUUGGUUAGUACUCUUCCGGUUUUGAGUAUCAUACCAAAAAAUUUUCAAAGGAAAAGAAGAGUUCUGUUUCCCUAGAGGUAAGCAGAAACUGCAUUCCCUGACAUUCUUGUACUGUGCAUUUCACAUUUUCUAGCAUCUCAUUCCUGGGUUGGUUUCUGCCACCUCUACUCCUAGCUUUUCCUGUCCAACUGCUAUUUAUUCUUUGAGUUUUCUGCACAAAGUGGUUCCUGGUUAUCUCAGGUCCAUCCUAGAAUAAUCAAGGGAAUAACUGCUUUUGAGUUCCAGCUGUACUACUUAUUGGCCACAUGGUCUAAGACAAGUCACUUUACUUCUUUGAGCCUCUUGUUUCCUUAUAGAAUAAGAAAAAAUAAUAGCACCUACUUUAUAAAAUCCAACUCAAUGUCCUCACACACACAAGCACUUAACCCAGAGUCAGACAUACAGAAAGUAUGUAGCAAAUAACAUAACAACUUUCUUCUCCUCCUCCUCCUCCUUCUCCUUCUCUCCUCCUCCUUCUCCUCCUCCUCCUCCUCCUCCUCCUCCUUCAUCGAAUACAGAUUUGCUCACCUUAUUCUCUGGAUUAUGUAUUUUCAUGGGCUUCUGGUUGUCUCCAUGAUCAAAUCCAAUCUUCUUAACUUGCCCCCAGCUACUGUGGCAAUCUUUUCUUCUAUAUGUUCUCUUUAAUGUUCCUUCAAUUCUCUGUUAUAGCCUUAAUACUUCAACCCAUCUGCCAUGGUUCACAGUUUUUUACAACUGUCAGGUUGUUUUAUUAUUAUUUAAGUCAAAUGGGUACUUUUCCCUCUGUCUGAAGUAGCUAUCUUCCAUCCUAAAAUGCUUCUGAACCUAGAUUUGUAGCAUCUUCUCUAUGAUGCCCUCUAUAAAUUUCUGCCAAUAAUUCAUUAAUUCAAUAAAUCUAUAUUGAAUAUCUUCUAGGUGUCAGGCACUGUCCUAGGGACUGGGACUCUGGAAGUAAACAAAAUUAUAAAGGGAUAAAAAUCUUAAUUCUUAUGAAGUUUGUGUCACAAUUUAAACAGUUCAAUUUAACAAAUAUAUGUUGUCCACCUACGAUAUGUCUGACACUUAUGUUAAACACUGAGAUACAAAACUGAAACCCUUAAUCCCUUGCCUCAAGGCUGUAUUGCAGUUUGGAGAAAGAAGAUCCCCUAAACAAAUCCUUUUCAUACAUUGAAGUGUGGAGUCUGAUAAAGAAAUAUCACCAUCAUUCUGAAAGAAUGGAGGAUGGAAUUGAGAGGAAGGCUGGAGGUAGAGAGAUAAGCUUGAAGACAGUUUUUCAGAUUAGAGAUGAAGAGUGGCUUAAGAUACAGUGACUAUGGAGUUGGACAGACAGAUGGAGGAGAUGAAUUCAAAAGGAAUUGGAAUUUGCAGGAUUUUGUGACUGAUAAGAUGUGGGUGCUAAAGAGAGAGGAUUUAAGGUCUUGGAAUUUAUUGCCCACUGUGGUUAUGGAAGGACUCCUUAAAGGAGAAACCUUAAUUGGGUGAGGGUACAAUUACUUUUCACAUAUGAGGAGCAGAGGAGGGACAGUUGGAUUUUACCCCUGCUUCUUGUUUAUGACUACAAUCUUCAGUGUGGUGAAAGUGAAUUAAAGAGUUUCCCCAAAGGCUUCUAGGCAUAUCAUCUUUGUUUUUGAAUGUCUGGAUAUCUAUAUGAACAUCAAUAAAGACAUGUAUGAUUCUAAUUAUAUAAAUUUU
Sciurus carolinensis (gray squirrel) is the source of this 4697-nucleotide long non-coding RNA. RefSeq lists it as uncharacterized. The transcript is spliced from 5 exons. The record is from RefSeq and is a predicted model, not a curated record. Lineage: Eukaryota; Metazoa; Chordata; Mammalia; Rodentia; Sciuridae.